RNAcentral lists this ribosomal RNA (165 nucleotides) under Notholirion bulbuliferum. Its description in RNAcentral is "5.8S ribosomal RNA". It matches the Rfam family "5.8S ribosomal RNA". Rfam says of the family: 5.8S ribosomal RNA (5.8S rRNA) is a component of the large subunit of the eukaryotic ribosome. It is transcribed by RNA polymerase I as part of the 45S precursor that also contains 18S and 28S rRNA. Functionally, it is thought that 5.8S rRNA may be involved in ribosome translocation. The record is from RNAcentral. Lineage: Eukaryota; Viridiplantae; Streptophyta; Magnoliopsida; Liliales; Liliaceae. RNAcentral also lists the same sequence under 1 other name.
UCUACGACUCUCGGCAACGGAUAUCUCGGCUCUCGCAUCGAUGAAGAACGUAGCGAAAUGCGAUACUUGGUGUGAAUUGCAGAAUCCCGUGAACCAUCGAGUCUUUGAACGCAAGUUGCGCCCGAGGCCUUUCGGUCGAGGGCACGCCUGCCUGGGCGUCACGCC